CAAUUGCUGAAGUAGUGAUAAGUAUGAUGGU
RNAcentral lists this non-coding RNA (31 nucleotides) under Homo sapiens (human). The record is from RNAcentral. Lineage: Eukaryota; Metazoa; Chordata; Mammalia; Primates; Hominidae.